RNAcentral lists this ribosomal RNA (484 nucleotides) under uncultured bacterium. Its description in RNAcentral is "partial 16S ribosomal RNA". It matches the Rfam family "Bacterial small subunit ribosomal RNA", at positions 30 to 507 of the family's 1533-position model. The record is from RNAcentral.
AUUGAACGCUGGCGGCAGGCUUAACACAUGCAAGUCGAGCGGAUGAAGCGAGCUUUCUCCUGGUUCCAGCGGCGGACGGGUGUGUAAUGCCCAGGAAUCUGCCUGGUAGUGCUUUAUAAUGUCCUGAAACGGGUGCUAAUACUGCCUACGUCCUGAGCCAGCUACUUGGUGAUCUUCGGAACUCUUGCUAUGUGAUGAGCCUAGGUCGGAUUAGUUAGUUGGUUGGUUAAAGGCCUACCUAGGCGACGAUUCGUAACUGGUCUGAGAGGAUGAUCAGUCACACUAGAGCUGGGACACGGUCAAGACUCCUACGGGACGCAGCAGUGGGGAAUGGUGGGCAGAGGGCGAGAGCCUGAUACAGCCAGGGCGAGUGCGAGGAGGAGGUCUUCGGAGUGUGAAGAACGUUAAGUUGGGAGAAAGGGCAGUAGGUUGAUACCUAGCUGUUUUGACGUUACCAGGAGAAUAAGCACCGGCUAACUUCGUG